CCUGGGUUAUGUGACUGUGAACA
Molecule: non-coding RNA, 23 nt
Filed under: Cricetulus griseus (Chinese hamster)
Lineage: Eukaryota; Metazoa; Chordata; Mammalia; Rodentia; Cricetidae
Source: RNAcentral